UGACUGUGCUGGGAUUUUGCUUGGGACUGCACUAAAUCAACAGAUCAGUCUGGGGAAGAAUCUGUUUGCAGUCAUCUUCCAGGUGAUAAGCGUGGUGCGUCUCUCCAUGAUGGAGACCUCAGGUGAUAAGCGUGGUGCGUCUCUCCAUAAUGGAGACCUCAGGUGAUAAGCCGUGCGUCUUUCCAUGAUGGAGGCCUCAGGUGAUAAGCGUGGUGUCUUUCUCCAUGAUAAGAGACCUCAGGUGAUAAGCGUGGUGCAUCUCUCCAUGAUGGAGACCUCAGGUGAUAACCGUGGUGCGUCCCUCCAUGAUGGAGACCUCAGGUGAUAACCGUGGUGCAUCCCUCCAUGAUGGAGACCUCAGGUGAUAAGCGUGGUGCGUCUCUCCAUGAUGGAGACCUCAGGUGAUAGAUAAGUGUGGUGUGUCUCUCCGUGAUGGAGACCUU
Sapajus apella (tufted capuchin) is the source of this 443-nucleotide long non-coding RNA. RefSeq lists it as uncharacterized. NCBI's taxonomy places the organism in Eukaryota, Metazoa, Chordata, Mammalia, Primates, Cebidae. The transcript is spliced from 3 exons. The record is from RefSeq and is a predicted model, not a curated record.